GAUGAACGCUGGCGGCGUGCCUAAUACAUGCAAGUCGAGCGAACAGACGAGGAGCUUGCUCCUCUGACGUUAGCGGCGGACGGGUGAGUAACACGUGGAUAACCUACCUAUAAGACUGGGAUAACUUCGGGAAACCGGAGCUAAUACCGGAUAAUAUAUUGAACCGCAUGGUUCAAUAGUGAAAGACGGUUUUGCUGUCACUUAUAGAUGGAUCCGCGCCGCAUUAGCUAGUUGGUAAGGUAACGGCUUACCAAGGCAACGAUGCGUAGCCGACCUGAGAGGGUGAUCGGCCACACUGGAACUGAGACACGGUCCAGACUCCAACGGGAGGCAGCAGUAGGGAAUCUUCCGCAAUGGGCGAAAGCCUGACGGAGCAACGCCGCGUGAGUGAUGAAGGUCUUCGGAUCGUAAAACUCUGUUAUUAGGGAAGAACAAAUGUGUAAGUAACUAUGCACGUCUUGACGGUACCUAAUCAGAAAGCCACGGCUAACUACGUG
This 497-nucleotide ribosomal RNA is filed under the name uncultured bacterium. RNAcentral describes it as "partial 16S ribosomal RNA". It matches the Rfam family "Bacterial small subunit ribosomal RNA", at positions 28 to 507 of the family's 1533-position model. The record is from RNAcentral.